RNAcentral lists this ribosomal RNA (1343 nucleotides) under uncultured bacterium. Its description in RNAcentral is "16S ribosomal RNA". It matches the Rfam family "Bacterial small subunit ribosomal RNA", at positions 28 to 1378 of the family's 1533-position model. The record is from RNAcentral.
GACGAACGCUGGCGGCGUGCUUAACACGUGCAAGUCGAACGGAAAGGCCCUGCUUUUGUGGGGUGCUCGAGUGGCGAACGGGUGAGUAACACGUGAGUAACCUGCCCUUGACUUUGGGAUAACUUCAGGAAACUGGGGCUAAUACCGGAUAGGAGCUCCUGCUGCAUGGUGGGGGUUGGAAAGUUUCGGCGGUUGGGGUUGGACUCGCGGCUUAUCAGCUUGUUGGUGGGGUAGUGGCUUACCAAGGCUUUGACGGGUAGCCGGCCUGAGAGGGUGACCGGCCACAUUGGGACUGAGGUACGGCCCAGACUCCUACGGGAGGCAGCAGUGGGGAAUAUUGCACAAUGGGCGGAAGCCUGAUGCAGCAACGCCGCGUGCGGGAUGACGGCCUUCGGGUUGUAAACCGCUUUCGCCUGUGACGAAGCGUGAGUGACGGUAAUGGGUAAAGAAGCACCGGCUAACUACGUGCCAGCAGCCGCGGUGAUACGUAGGGUGCGAGCGUUGUCCGGAUUUAUUGGGCGUAAAGGGCUCGUAGGUGGUUGAUCGCGUCGGAAGUGUAAUCUUGGGGCUUAACCCUGAGCGUGCUUUCGAUACGGGUUGACUUGAGGAAGGUAGGGGAGAAUGGAAUUCCUGGUGGAGCGGUGGAAUGCGCAGAUAUCAGGAGGAACACCAGUGGCGAAGGCGGUUCUCUGGGCCUUUCCUGACGCUGAGGAGCGAAAGCGUGGGGAGCGAACAGGCUUAGAUACCCUGGUAGUCCACGCUGUAAACGGUGGGUACUAGGUGUGGGGUCCAUUCCACGGGUUCCGUGCCGUAGCUAACGCUUUAAGUACCCCGCCUGGGGAGUACGGCCGCAAGGCUAAAACUCAAAGGAAUUGACGGGGCCCCGCACAAGCGGCGGAGCAUGCGGAUUAAUUCGAUGCAACGCGUAGAACCUUACCUGGGUUUGACAUGGAUCGGGAGUGCUCAGAGAUGGGUGUGCCUCUUUUGGGGUCGGUUCACAGGUGGUGCAUGCCUGUCGUCAGCUCGUGUCGUGAGAUGUUGGGUUAAGUCCCGCAACGAGCGCAACCCUUGUUCACUGUUGCCAGCACGUUAUGGUGGGGACUCAGUGGAGACCGCCGGGGUCAACUCGGAGGAAGGUGGGGAUGACGUCAAGUCCUCAUGCCCCUUAUGUCCGGGGCUUCACGCAUGCUACAAUGGCUGGUACAGAGAGUGGCGAGCCUGUGAGGGUGAGCGAAUCUCGGAAAGCCGGUCUCAGUUCGGAUUGGGGUCUGCAACUCGACCUCAUGAAGUCGGAGUCGCUAGUAAUCGCAGAUCAGCAACGCUGCGGUGAAUACGUUCCCGGG